AUUGAACGCUGGCGGUAGGCUUAACACAUGCAAGUCGAACGGCAACAGGGUGAGAGGUUGUGACGAGGGGCGGACGGGGGCGGAAGGCAGCGGAACAUGCCCAGACGUGGUGGAUAGCGAGGCGAAAGAGAAGCAAACACAGCAUACGACCGCAGGAGGACAGCGGGGGAACGUAAGGCCUCGUGCGAUCUUACGGGCCGGUGUCAGAUUAUGUAGUUGUAGGGGUAAAGGCCCACCAAGCCAACGAUCUGUAGCUGGUCUGAGAGGAUGAGCAGCCACACUGGAACUGAGACACGGCCCAGACUCCUACGGGAGGCAGCAGUGGGGAAUUUUGGACAAUGGGCGCAAGCCUGAUCCAGCCAUGCCGCGUGCGUGAAGAAGGCCUUCGGGUUGUAAAGUGCUUUUGUUCGGAAAGAAAAGCAUCAGGUUAAUACCCCGCGGUAAUGACGGUACCCAAAGAAUAAGCACCGGCUAACUUCGUG
This 482-nucleotide ribosomal RNA is filed under the name uncultured bacterium. Its description in RNAcentral is "partial 16S ribosomal RNA". It matches the Rfam family "Bacterial small subunit ribosomal RNA", at positions 29 to 507 of the family's 1533-position model. The record is from RNAcentral.